AGUUUUCACAUGCUUUCUGGAGUUUGCCUAAUCAGCAUUGGCUCUGUGGUGUACAGGCUGUCUUCAUCGGUGGAAUACAACAUAAUGGAGUUGGAACAAGAACUUGAAAAUGUAAAGACUCUUAAGACAAAAUUAGAGAGGCGAAAAAAGGCUUCAGCAUGGGAAAGAAAUUUGGUGUAUCCUGCUGUUAUGGUUCUCCUUCUUAUUGAGACAUCCAUCUCGGUCCUCUUGGUGGCUUGUAAUAUUCUUUGCCUGUUGGUUGAUGAAACAGCAAUGCCAAAAGGAACAAGGGGGCCUGGAAUAGGAAAUGCCUCUCUUUCUACGUUUGGUUUUGUGGGAGCUGCGCUUGAAAUCAUUUUGAUUUUCUAUCUUAUGGUGUCCUCUGUUGUCGGCUUCUAUAGCCUUCGAUUUUUUGGAAACUUUACUCCCAAGAAAGAUGACACAACUAUGACAAAGAUCAUUGGAAAUUGUGUGUCCAUUUUGGUUUUGAGCUCUGCUCUGCCUGUGAUGUCGAGAACACUGGGAAUCACUAGAUUUGAUCUACUUGGCGACUUUGGAAGGUUUAAUUGGCUGGGAAAUUUCUAUAUUGUAUUAUCCUACAAUUUGCUUUUU
This 612-nucleotide small RNA is filed under the name Pan troglodytes (chimpanzee). Its description in RNAcentral is "processed transcript". The record is from RNAcentral. Lineage: Eukaryota; Metazoa; Chordata; Mammalia; Primates; Hominidae.